This 958-nucleotide ribosomal RNA is filed under the name uncultured bacterium. RNAcentral describes it as "bacterial SSU rRNA". It matches the Rfam family "Bacterial small subunit ribosomal RNA", at positions 213 to 1182 of the family's 1533-position model. The record is from RNAcentral.
ACUCGGUCAAGGAUGGACUCGCGGCCUAUCAGGUAGUNGGUGAGGUAACGGCCCACCAAGCCUACGACGGGUAGCCGGCCUGAGAGGGUGACCGGCACACUGGGACUGAGACACGGCCCAGACUCCUACGGGAGGCAGCAGUGGGGAAUAUUGCACAAUGGGCGCAAGCCUGAUGCAGCAACGCCGCGUGAGGGAUGACGGCCUUUCGGGUUGUAAACCUCUUUUAGUAGGGAAGAAGCGAAAGUGACGGUACCUGCAGAAAAAGCACCGGCUAACUACGUGCCAGCAGCCGCGGUAAUACGUAGGGUGCGAGCGUUGUCCGGAAUUAUUGGGCGUAAAGAGCUCGUAGGCGGUCUGUCGCGUCUGCUGUGAAAACCCGAGGCUCAACCUCGGGCCUGCAGUGGGUACGGGCAGACUAGAGUGCGGUAGGGGAGAAUGGAAUUCCUGGUGUAGCGGUGGAAUGCGCAGAUAUCAGGAGGAACACCGAUGGCGAAGGCAGUUCUCUGGGCCGUAACUGACGCUGAGGAGCGAAAGCGUGGGGAGCGAACAGGAUUAGAUACCCUGGUAGUCCACGCCGUAAACGUUGGGCACUAGAUGUGGGGACCAUUCCACGGUUUCCGUGUCGCAGCUAACGCAUUAAGCGCCCCGCCUGGGGAGUACGGCCGCAAGGCUAAAACUCAAAGGAAUUGACGGGGGCCCGCACAAGCGGCGGAGCAUGCGGAUUAAUUCGAUGCAACGCGAAAAACCUUACCAAGGCUUGACAUAUACGAGAACGGGCCAAAAAUGGUCAACUCUUUGGACACUCGUAAACAGGUGGUGCAUGGUUGUCGUCAGCUCGUGUCGUGAGAUGUUGGGUUAAGUCCCGCAACGAGCGCAACCCUCGUUCUAUGUUGCCAGCACGUAAUGGUGGGAACUCAUAGGAGACUGCCGGGGUCAACUCGGAGGAAGGUGGGGAUGA